CAAUAGGUAGAGGUCACCAGCAUAGGUCAGAGGGGAUAUUGUAUGUAACUGGUGACAUUUGAAAGAGACAUAUUGGACAGAAAUGACAUACGUGAAAGCUAAGAUACAAUAUAUUUAAUUUUCUAAGAAUUCAGUUCAAGGUAGUCUGCCUGGUUUCUCAAGUUCUGCAUGUUUCUUCAGUAGACUAAAUAAUGAUAAGGAAGCUGAGAUGUAGAGCUGAAGUGUCUUGCCCAAGAUCAUUUGUCUACUGCAGCUCCUGUUCCACUUCCUUUCUUGUACUGCUGAACAUCCAGAUAGAGGCAUUGACAUGCAUGGUUUCCAACUGAUCACUUCCUACUCCCUUAAGGACCUCCUGUCAGGCAGCAUUGAUGAGAAGACAAAAAAGCUCUCUGGCUGGAGCCACUCUCUAUGUGGAAUUUGCAUGUUCUCCCCAUGCCUGCACUGAUAUUCUCCCACAUCCCAAAGCUGUGCACAGAUUUUGACUGGUUCCCAGAAGAAGAUUCAGCCACCCAUGACCCUGAACUGGAAUAAGCAGUUUUGCUAAUUUCUUUAAUAUCAGAAGACAGCUGGAUUCUCAUUUCUGCUUCUGCAUUCAGUCUAUUGUGAUAUAGCAUAUCAUGUAACUUCUGAAAAACUUCACUGUACACAGAUGCUGACCUCACAGACUCCCUGAAAGGAUCUCCAUGACCUCUAUGGUUCCUUAGACUGCACUUUGAGAACUAUUGACGUACAGGGAAAAAUGCUCUUGGUGUUCCAGUUAAGCACAGAAUAAAAUCUGGACUGUGUCAGUUUGUAAAGAUCUUAUGUCUACUUGGUCAUCAGCCAAGAAGGGAUUCCGAAGAUAGAAGAGGAGGCAUCAACACCGUGAACAUCAUGGCUGAGUUAUUUUGUGAGAGGGAUAAGCCUAAAGUAAAAACCUUGGAUUUGCCUCUGUCCUUGAACAUGCUAUCUGGAAAGAGUUUUCUUAAAAGUAUUGUUGUGAACACAUCCAUUUUCCCAGUAUAGUUGAAUGCAGGGUUUAAUAAAUGGAAUGAAUCUAGUUUUAG
This 1046-nucleotide long non-coding RNA is filed under the name Homo sapiens (human). RNAcentral describes it as "HSALNT0293231". Lineage: Eukaryota; Metazoa; Chordata; Mammalia; Primates; Hominidae. The record is from RNAcentral.